Molecule: long non-coding RNA, 717 nt
Organism: Venturia canescens
Lineage: Eukaryota; Metazoa; Arthropoda; Insecta; Hymenoptera; Ichneumonidae
Exons: 2
Source: RefSeq, a predicted model, not a curated record
GCUGCAAUUACGUUUAAAAAUAGCAACGUAGAAAAAGGCCGCCACGGAGAAGGGGAUGGAAUAGAAGAUUGCGGGGCGAGAGGGGAGGGAGAAAAAUAGCUGGGAGUAGUUGCUGGAUUGCAUCAGAAAGAGACCUUAGAGCUUCGUACACGACUUCUUGGAGCAGAGACCAAUUCAAGAGAACGCGAAGAGAACGUUUCGAGAUGCGCAAAACGAUGGAAGAAAACGACACCACGUGAUCGCAAUGAGAUUUUCGAAUGCGUCUGCGUCACGUGGUAGCUACGACGACCACAACUAUACAGGGACGUUCUCGUUCUCGUCGGGAAAGACGAUUACGAGGCGCGUUUACGUCGCUUCGAGACUUGCCCGCGAUUCACAAAAUCGAAUGGUAAAGCACGAGGACGUCGGGGUAUCAACGUCAACAUGUCUGAGAGAAAGAGAGAGAGAGCGAGAGUGAGGAAACUAGAGCUCUUAUUCGUAUUCGAGAAACAUUUCACAGGGAAUUUUGCCAAAAGUACGCGUGGGUAGUAGUAACGUCACCAAAAGCUUUUCUGAUCUAUUUAUCUAUUUAUCUGUAUUUACCGGUAGGCAACCGGGGCACUUAUUGAAACACUCUUGAAAAUUCAGAAACAUGUGCAGCGAAACUAUUGAGAGAAUUCGAACGAUAGAAAAUAUUUAUAUUAAGAUACAUAUAAAAAAAAAAAACGAAAUACAAAA